CCGCCAUUAGCUCAUCAGGAAGAGCAACCAACCGUAAGCGUUGUAUAGUACGGGGUUCGAGGCCUCGAUGGCGGACCA
This 78-nucleotide transfer RNA is filed under the name Kluyvera intermedia. RNAcentral's name for it is "tRNA-Leu(taa)". Lineage: Bacteria; Pseudomonadati; Pseudomonadota; Gammaproteobacteria; Enterobacterales; Enterobacteriaceae. The record is from RNAcentral.